AGUGAACGCUGGCGGUAGGCCUAACACAUGCAAGUCGAACGGCAGCACAGUAAGAGCUUGCUCUUACGGGUGGCGAGUGGCGGACGGGUGAGGAAUACAUCGGAAUCUACUUUUUCGUGGGGGAUAACGUAGGGAAACUUACGCUAAUACCGCAUACGACCUACGGGUGAAAGCAGGGGAUCUUCGGACCUUGCGCGAUUGAAUGAGCCGAUGUCGGAUUAGCUAGUUGGCGGGGUAAAGGCCCACCAAGGCGACGAUCCGUAGCUGGUCUGAGAGGAUGAUCAGCCACAGGGAAACUGAGACGCGGCCCAGACUCCUGGGGGGGGCAGCUGUGGAGAAUAUGGGAAUGGGGGCGCAACCCUGAUCCAGCCAUACCGCGUGGGUGAAGAAGCCCUUCGGGUUGUAAAGCCCUUUUGUGGGGAAAAAAAAACAGCAGUUUAAUACCCCGCUGUUCAGACGAUACCCAAAGAAAAAGCACGGGCAAUCGUCG
This 490-nucleotide ribosomal RNA is filed under the name uncultured bacterium. Its description in RNAcentral is "partial 16S ribosomal RNA". It matches the Rfam family "Bacterial small subunit ribosomal RNA", at positions 29 to 505 of the family's 1533-position model. The record is from RNAcentral.